GAUGAACGCUGGCGGCAGGCUUAAUACAUGCAAGUCGAACGGUAACAGUACUAGCAAUAGUAGCUGACGAGUGGCGCACGGGUGCGUAACGCGUAUGCAACCUACCCAUAACCGGAACAAAACGUUGAGAAAUUGGCGCUAAUAUUCCAUGUGUAUUUAAUAUGGCAUCAUAUAAAAUAUAAAGAACUUUGGUUAUGGAUGGGCAUGCGUAUCAUUAGCUAGUUGGGGAGGUAAUGGCUCACCAAGGCAACGAUGAUUAGGGGUUCUGAGAGGAAAAACCCCCACACUGGAACUGAGACACGGUCCAGACUCCUACGGGAGGCAGCAGUAGGGAAUAUUGGGCAAUGGAAGGAAUUCUGACCCAGCCAUGCCGCGUGCAGGAAUACAGUCCUAUGGACUUUAAACUGCUUUUAUUAUAGAGUAACCUGGGGGACGUGUCCCCCACUGCAAGUAUAUAAUGAAUAAGCAUCGGCUAACUCCGUGCCAGCAGCCG
RNAcentral lists this ribosomal RNA (493 nucleotides) under uncultured bacterium. RNAcentral's name for it is "bacterial SSU rRNA". It matches the Rfam family "Bacterial small subunit ribosomal RNA", at positions 28 to 517 of the family's 1533-position model. The record is from RNAcentral.